Molecule: ribosomal RNA, 97 nt
Filed under: uncultured bacterium
Lineage: Bacteria
Description: partial 16S ribosomal RNA
Rfam family: Bacterial small subunit ribosomal RNA
Source: RNAcentral
CACACCGCCCGUCACACCAUGGGAGUGGGUUGCACCAGAAGUCGUUAGCUUAACCGCAAGGGGGGCGAUGACCACGGUGUGAUUCAUGACUGGGGUG